Molecule: non-coding RNA, 28 nt
Filed under: Mus musculus (house mouse)
Lineage: Eukaryota; Metazoa; Chordata; Mammalia; Rodentia; Muridae
Source: RNAcentral
UCUUAUGUGGUCACUUGUCCACUGGUUC